Molecule: ribosomal RNA, 433 nt
Filed under: uncultured bacterium
Lineage: Bacteria
Description: partial 16S ribosomal RNA
Rfam family: Bacterial small subunit ribosomal RNA
Source: RNAcentral
AACGAACGCUGGCGGCAUGCCUAACACAUGCCAGUCGAACGAGACCUUCGGGUCUAGUGGCGCACGGGUGCGUAACGCGUGGGAACCUGCCCUUAGGUUCGGAAUAACUCCCCGAAAGGGGUGCUAAUACCGGCUAAUGUCUUCGGACCAAAGAUUUAUCGCCGUUGGAUGGGCCCGCGUUGGAUUAGCUAGUUGGUAGGGUAAAAGCCUACCAAGGCGACGAUCCAUAGCUGGUCUGAGAGGAUGAUCAGCCACUCUGGGACUGAGACACGGCCCAGACUCUUACGCGAGGCAGCAGUGGGGAAUACUGGACAAUGGGCGAAAGCCUGAUCCAGCAAUGCUGCGUGAGUGAUGAAGGCCGUAGGGUUGUAAAGCUCUUUUACCCGGGAUGAUAAUGACAGUACCGGGAGAAUAAGCUCCGGCUAACUCCGUG